RNAcentral lists this ribosomal RNA (253 nucleotides) under uncultured bacterium. RNAcentral's name for it is "partial 16S ribosomal RNA". It matches the Rfam family "Bacterial small subunit ribosomal RNA", at positions 524 to 776 of the family's 1533-position model. The record is from RNAcentral.
UACGAAGGGUGUAAGCGUUACUCGGAAUUACUGGGCGUAAAGCGUGCGUAGGUGGUUUGUUAAGUCUGAUGUGAAAGCCCUGGGCUCAACCUGGGAAUUGCAUUGGAUACUGGCAGGCUAGAGUGCGGUAGAGGAUGGCGGAAUUCCCGGUGUAGCAGUGAAAUGCGUAGAGAUCGGGAGGAACAUCUGUGGCGAAGGCGGCCAUCUGGACCAGCACUGACACUGAGGCACGAAAGCGUGGGGAGCAAACAGG